UCACUGUUGCCAGCACGUUAUGGUGGGGACUCAGUGGAGACCGCCGGGGUCAACUCGGAGGAAGGUGGGGAUGACGUCAAGUCAUCAUGCCCCUUAUGUCCAGGGCUUCACGCAUGCUACAAUGGCCGGUACAAAGAGUUGCGAGCCUGUGAGGGUGAGCGAAUCUCGGAAAGCCGGUCUCAGUUCGGAUUGGGGUCUGCAACUCGACCCCAUGAAGUCGGAGUCGCUAGUAAUCGCAGAUCAGCAACGCUGCGGUGAAUACGUUCCCGGGGCUUGUACACACCGCCCGUCAAGUCAUGAAAGUCGGUAACACCCGAAGCCGGUGGCCUAACCUGUGUGGGGGAGCCGUCGAAGGUGGGACUGGUAAUUAGGACUAAGUCGUAAC
RNAcentral lists this ribosomal RNA (385 nucleotides) under Cutibacterium avidum. RNAcentral describes it as "bacterial SSU rRNA". It matches the Rfam family "Bacterial small subunit ribosomal RNA", at positions 1109 to 1492 of the family's 1533-position model. The record is from RNAcentral. Lineage: Bacteria; Bacillati; Actinomycetota; Actinomycetes; Propionibacteriales; Propionibacteriaceae.